GACACAGACGCCUUGCACAGAGGAAAGAAGAUAAAUUAAAAAUUAUUUAACAGCUUAGGAAUGGGAUUCCAAACACACUUCAACUGCAUGCUGAUAGAGCUACCGUUAAGUUGAUCAAUCUGGAGGUGACUCUAACAUGAAAGACUGAAGUGCCAUAGUUGUAGAAGAUGCUUUAAGUUUUGCUGCCUGGUCCAAAUCAAGUCUAUACAGAAGUCUGGUUGAAUUUGGUUAGCUAUGCUUCCUAAUCAAGGUGCGUAACAAAGCAAUUUUAGGUUCAAUGAAAAAGUCUGUUCAAGAUCACUAGUUCAAAUUCCCUGUGUAUAUAAACCGUCACUACUUAGUCUCUUUCCAGAUGCUUUUCUGACAUAUGCAACAGUGCUGCUGGCUAACAAGUACGUAAGUCCAUUCUUAACAAAUCAAAAGAGACAAGUGAAAGGUAGUCCUCACCUGCAAGUCUUUUGAAUGGCAAUGACACAUUUUUGCACUAUUUAGCAGAUCAUUUAGACAAGUUUCCUUUAGGACUACAAAUCCAAGAAUACCAUAUGCUGUGCUAGCUGGGGAGUCUGGGAACUGUUGUUCAAAAAAAAAGUAAAUGUUCUGUUUCCCAAAAGGUCAGCAUUAGAUAAGCAUGCAAGAGUAGCGCUUUGCAGGUGAAACAGUCCCAUUGAAUCAACAGGAGUGCUGGUGUGACAAGACAUUAUUCAGUGUGACUGAGAGUAGCUGACUCCUGCCUUGAGACAGGAUAUCAUUUAAGGACAUAAAGAUUUCUCCGAAUAGUGACAUCCCUAUAAAUCAAAGUCAACUAAUUUGACAACAAACCCUUACAGGUCUUACAGGUACUGCAUAAUGUCCUUUAGUAGACACUAUAUUACAAACAGUCAUUAGCCCUGCUAUAAAAAAGGUUUAAAUACUAAUGUAUUUUUUAAUUUGUUUUAUAUCCUAAACAAGUAAUCAAUGCACAUUAAUAAACAUAAUUGGUUUUUUGGCAUUUGUCCAUUCGUUUGGUCCACUUUGUCAGACCUAGCAAGCUUCAGCAACCACAAGCACAAGUAGGAAACACAGCAUCAAGGCCUUCUGCAAUAUGCAUAAUGUAUUGGAUUACUCAGCUGGCCUUGCUGUUGAAAGAUGGAGGCUUCUGAAGUUUACCAUACUGCUUUCUCCCAUGUAUUUCAAGCAAUGUUUCUGACAGAUUUCUCUCGGCUGUUUCACAUGUCCACAAUGUGUAAAGCGUCCACUUGAAAAUCCUUAAACAUGAUGCUUCCCAAAAUGUUCAAGCUGGUUUUCCUACCAAUUGUCAGAAUUGGCUGUUAAACUGCAAAUGUCCAUCUAGUCUCAAAUCCCCAUUUGGGGGGCAGGAUGAAUGAGGGGAUAAACACCCUUGCCUUUGAUAAGGUGAGUUUGUUGAUGGCAUGAGCCAGGGGAUCGCUUUUCAAAAGCAAAUAUGUACCGAGUCAGUGAAUACGGUUGUAACAGAGAAGCCCUCCUAGAUAAUCAUCUCCAUUUGAUCACUUGUAAACAUCCUCUUUAGUUUUCACUGUCUUUUGCCAGGGCCAUAGGGCCAUAAUUAACUCUCUCUUUUUUGUGUGUGACUUGGACCAACUCUAGCCUUGUUCCAUAGUUAGUGCACUAGCUCCAUCCACCCAACCUGGGUCAGUUAAUGGCUCUAUAUUGGUUACAAAGAAAGAGAAAAUUCCAAUGAAAUUACUAGAAGACGAGCAACACAUAGAGGCUGAAAUGGUGCCUUCCUUGGAUGUGCUCUGAAAUACACCAAAACACGAAUAAAAGGUAACUUAUUCAGUGUCAGUCUUACAUAUUUAUAGUUUGAAAAUUAGUCAAAGUUUAUGUCCGGAGGUUGCACCUACAGGAAGCCAGAUGUGUGCCUUCUGCAUGUGACCUAAGACAGGCCUGAAGCAAAAACUAGAUAAUUUCUCGCUCAUACUCUACACCGUCGAUUGCGGCGGCUUUCUGAGGUGAGAGAAACUGACAGCACUAACUCUCCAGGGCAGAACUUUCCAGUCAAGUGGAUCAACGGACUGAAAAUCUCUUAUGAAUAGUCAUUAGGCCUUCAUUACAAACCCCUCACAACCCAGUUCUCUUUUCGCAACCAAAUGCCUUUUGUCAUCUUCACAAGGUGCAUCAUUUAAUUACCAAUUGAUUUCUUUAUAUAUGACAACAUGUCAGAUAGCAAAAUACAGUGUAUCUCCCUUAGGGGAAGUAGUCUGUUAACUAUCAGUGUGCCAGAUUACUGAAUUUAGUGGUAAGACAGUUAUUCCCUAUGCUGUGCCUUUUUAAAAAACGAGCAUCCAGAACAUCUCAAGUUUCUUAUUUUUUAUUUCAGAAUUAACAGUACUAAAGAAAGGAGAGGUAAUGGAGGUUGGAGAAAGCUGAAAAAUGCCAGGAUAUGAUGGCUCUGAGAAUCAGCCAGAACGGUCCAAACCCACAACUGCCAGACGGGCUCCUAUUUUUAGAUACCUAAAUGUGUGUGUGUAUCUGCCUAUCUGUCUGACUGUGAGUGUAUUUGUAUGGGUACACACACAAGCGCACUUCUUGGCAUCUCUGCAGCCAUAGGCACACUGACACAGAAGGCCUCAAACAUGUCAAACAAUUGUUCUCAUUGAGUCUUCAUCCAGUCUCUGACUGAGCUUGCGCCCUGAAUUUUCCCCCUUCACAACUGUCGCUGGAUAAGCAAGCUGGUGCUAUAUUAAUAAGCUGAAUAAUCAGGGAAUUUCAGAAAUGUACAGGACUAUUAUACCGUAACAAUCAAACCUCCAACUGAGUAAACCAGAGCAGCACUGAAGGUAGGCGUUGGGAAAGAAUGAAACCAGUGUUGCAGUAAUGCCCUCCAUUGUAUGCCAGUGUAAAUGCCUGCUUCUUUCAGACACAGAAGCCACAUUACAUGAGUCCGAAAUGUUCUCAGAGCAUCACUGUGGACUGGUUGUGAUCGAACCUGGCACGGGCAAGCUGAAAGCUGACAUUAUACUGUAGGAUGUGCUGCAGGUGUAGGGGCCCGCAAACGUGCUCUAAUUACAUAUUUUCUAGCAGAGCAACAAUUAAGGUCGCCAAAAUAAUUGCCAGUUUGUUAAUCCUUCUCUAACAAGACUGACACAAGGAAGCGUUUAUUUUUCUCUCUCUGGUUAUUUGGAAAAGCACGCCUCAAGAUUUUGGGUCUUCCAUCACGCUUCAUCAAGACCUAAUUCUUAGUUUCCAGUGUGUGAUUAUAGUCAUUGUUGUCAUUUUUGUAAAGCCGCACCACUGUAACAACGGUCAUGAAGAAAUAUGGGGAGCACCUCUCAUGGCAUACUGUUCUGACAUUCCCAGUACAUAUGCUGCCCGCUGUUUGAUGUUUAAGAAUUUGAUCCUUGAUUGCAAUGGCCAUAUCACAGCUUAGGAUGCAUCUACACUGUGGAAUUAAUGCAGUUUGACACCCCUUUAACUGCCAUGGCUCAAUGCUAUGGAAUCCUCUAAAAUGUAAUUUUACACAGUGUUUAUCCUUCUCUACUAGAAAGUAUUGAUGCCUCACCAAACUACAUAUUCCAGGCUUUCCAUAACCUUGAGCCGUGGCAGUUCAAGUGGUACAUUAUUUCUACAGCGUUGGUGCAGUUUUAGAAGACUCUUUUGGGACUGGUUCUGAACAAUUUGACUGUCUUAAAGAAAUCUCUGGUGCUCUCUGGGCACACAUUUGGGGUCCUCUCUUGCUACAUAGUUACAACAAUUGGUCUCCACUUUAACUACCAUGGCUCUAUCCUAUGGAAACCUGGUCUUUGCUAUUUAAGGAGAGUACUUUGAAUUCUUAGCCAGAGAGCUCUAGCAUCUCACCAAACUAUACAUCACAUCAUUUCAUAGGCUAGUUAAAGUGGAAUCGUACAGCUAUAACCAUGUAGUAUGUAGGGAUCCCCUGAUUCUCAACCUUCCUAAUGCCACGACUCCUUGAUACAGGUCCUCAUCUUGUGGUGACCCCCAACCAUAAAAUUAUUUUUGUUGCUACUUCAUAACUGUAGUUUUGCUACUGUUAUGGAUCAUAAUGUAAAUGUAUGAUAUGCAGGAUUAUUUUCAUUCACUGGACCAAAUUUGGCACAAAUACUAGAUAUGCCCAAAUUUGAAUACUGGUGAGGUUGCGGGGAUUGAUUUUGUCAUUUGAGAGUUGUAGUUAUUGGGAUUUAUAGUUAACCUGCAAUCAGAAAGCAUCCUGAACUCCACCAACAAUGGAAUUGAACCAAACUUGCCACACAAAACUCCCAUGACCACCAGAAAAUACUGGAAGGGCAUUGACCUUGAGUUUGGAAUUGUAGUUCACCUACAUCCAGAGAGCACUGUGGACUCAAACAAUGAUGGAUCUGGACCAAACUUGUCAUGAAUACACAAUAUGCCCAAAUGUGAACACUGGUGGAGUUUGGGGAAAAUAGACCUUGACAUUUGGGAGUUGUAGUGUUUUCUGAUGGUCUUUGGUGACCCCUCUGAUACCCCCCUCAUGACCUGCCCAGGGGUCCCAACCCACAGGUUGAGAAACACUGAGUUAAAAUAAAUGUUCAGCUAAAACAUAUUCAACCCAAAGGUUUCCACUUCUACAAGGCCUCUAAAUUAACAAGAGCAUCGAGUCCCCUCAACAGUUGAAGAAAUCUCAGAAUUUGUAAUUAUAUUGGGUUGUUGUGAGUUUUCCGGGUUGUAUGGCCAUGUUCCAACGCAUUCUCUCCUGUGAGGUAUACCUCACAACCUCUGAGGAUGCUUGCUAUAAAUGUGAGUGAAACACCAGGAGAGAAUAUUUCUGGAACAUGGCCAUACAGCCUGGAAAACUCACAACAACCCAGUGAUUCCGGCCAUGAAAUCCUUCGACAAACAUGUAAUUACAUUGCUUUUCUUUCCCUCACACCCACAACCAUAUUAAUCUACCAUUUCCUCUAAGAUAUUCAAAGCAAUGGGUAGAUAAAUACCUGUAUCGUGCAAGUGUAUUAUUUGAGAGUUAUGGUGACCAAGAUCUCUUUAUGGAAUUCUACAUAACAUGUGAGUGUACAUUAUUUCAGUGCCUUAAGAGCUUUGGGGAUUCUGGGAGUUGUAAUCCCCAAAAAUAUGUUUUCCAAACUCGGGAUACAUCCAUGAUACAUUACUGCAUCCAGGCAAGAAUACACCCAUGUUGUGAAGGUGGGGCCGAAGAGGAGAAAUUUCCAUCUGCCCAGCAACUGGGAAGUUUGUUCAGGUUCACAGCACACGUUCUUGCCAUCAGCUUCUGUUCAGGUCAAAUCAGUCAAUCUUUAUUUCUUUAAUUUUUUAGGUCUUAUUUUCAAGCCGACAACUUCCUUUAUUUCUUUUUUGUAUCACCCUAGAUUGAAUUUGCACAUGAUGACUGAACAUGUGCACAGAGACUGAAGAGCAAAUUAAACCUCUCGUUCAGAGUCUUGAUCA
Long non-coding RNA from Anolis carolinensis (green anole), 5397 nucleotides. RefSeq lists it as uncharacterized. The transcript is spliced from 2 exons. The record is from RefSeq and is a predicted model, not a curated record. Lineage: Eukaryota; Metazoa; Chordata; Lepidosauria; Squamata; Anolidae.